Molecule: ribosomal RNA, 305 nt
Filed under: uncultured bacterium
Lineage: Bacteria
Description: bacterial SSU rRNA
Rfam family: Bacterial small subunit ribosomal RNA
Source: RNAcentral
UCCUACGGGAGGCAGCAGUGGGGAAUAUUGCACAAUGGGGGGAACCCUGAUGCAGCGACGCCGCGUGAGUGAAGAAGUAUUUCGGUAUGUAAAGCUCUAUCAGCAGGGAAGAAGAUGACGGUACCUGACUAAGAAGCAUCGGCUAACUCCGUGCCAGCAGCCGCGGUAAUACGGAGGAUGCGAGCGUUAUCCGGAUUUAUUGGGUUUAAAGGGUGCGCAGGCGGUCUGUUAAAUCAGCGGUCAAAGCCCGGGGCUCAACCCCGGCCCGCCGUUGAAACUGGCAGUCUCGAGUUGGAGAGAAGUAU